UGUUCCGAGAUUGGGCUGGC
This 20-nucleotide microRNA is filed under the name Sus scrofa (pig). Its description in RNAcentral is "ssc-miR-9856-3p". The record is from miRBase by way of RNAcentral. Lineage: Eukaryota; Metazoa; Chordata; Mammalia; Artiodactyla; Suidae.